This 647-nucleotide ribosomal RNA is filed under the name uncultured archaeon. RNAcentral's name for it is "bacterial SSU rRNA". It matches the Rfam family "Archaeal small subunit ribosomal RNA", at positions 212 to 859 of the family's 1478-position model. The record is from RNAcentral.
GGUCUGCGGCUGAUUAGGUCGUUGGUGGGGUAAUGGCCCACCAAGCCGAUGAUCGGUACGGGUUGUGAGAGCAAGGGCCCGGAGAUGGAACCUGAGACAAGGUUCCAGACCCUACGGGGUGCAGCAGGCGCGAAACCUCCGCAAUGUACGAAAGUGCGACGGGGGGAUCCCAAGUGUUAUGCUUUUUUGUAUGACUUUUCAUUAGUGUAAAAAGCUUUUAGAAUAAGAGCUGGGCAAGACCGGUGCCAGCCGCCGCGGUAACACCGGCAGCUCGAGUGGUAGCUGUUUUUAUUGGGCCUAAAGCGUUCGUAGCCGGUUUGAUAAGUCUUUGGUGAAAGCUUGUAGCUUAACUAUAAGAAUUGCUGGAGAUACUAUUAGACUUGAAGUCGGGAGAGGUUAGAGGUACUACCGGGGUAGGGGUGAAAUCCUAUAAUCCUGGGAGGACCACCUGUGGCGAAGGCGUCUAACUGGAACGAUCUUGACGGUGAGUAACGAAAGCCAGGGGCGCGAACCGGAUUAGAUACCCGGGUAGUCCUGGCCGUAAACGAUGUGGACUUGGUGUUGGAAUGGCUUUGAGUUGUUCCGGUGCCGAAGGGAAGCUGUUAAGUCCACCGCCUGGGAAGUACGGUCGCAAGACUGAAACUUAA